RNA transcript from Nannospalax galili (Upper Galilee mountains blind mole rat), 448 nucleotides. It is a transcript of the gene named POU domain, class 5, transcription factor 1-like, with no coding region annotated. The transcript has 3 exons. The record is from RefSeq and is a predicted model, not a curated record. Lineage: Eukaryota; Metazoa; Chordata; Mammalia; Rodentia; Spalacidae.
UUCAGCCAGACGACCAUCUGCCGCUUUGAGGCUCUGCAGCUCAGUUUCAAGAACAUGUGUAAGCUGCGGCCCCUGCUGCAGAAGUGGGUGGAGGAAGCUGAUAAUGAGAACCUUCAGGAGAUAUGCAAAGCGGAGACCCUGGUGCAGGCCCGCAAGAGGAAGCGAACUAGCAUCGAGAACCGCGUGCGGGGGAACCUGGAGAGCCUGUUUCUGCAGUGCCCGAAGCCCACCCUGCAGCAGAUCAGCCUCAUCGCCGAGCAGCUUGGGCUGGAGAAGGACGUGGUCCGAGUGUGGUUCUGUAACCGGCGCCAGAAGGGCAAACGAUCCAGCGUUGACUCCUCCCAGCGAGAGGAGUAUGAGGCUUCGGGCUCUCCUUUCCCAGGGGGGCCUGUAUCCUUUCCUCUGCCCCCAGGGCCCCAUUUUGGUACCCCAGGCUAUGGGAGUCCCC